Long non-coding RNA from Zingiber officinale, 654 nucleotides. RefSeq lists it as uncharacterized. The record is from RefSeq and is a predicted model, not a curated record. The transcript is spliced from 2 exons. NCBI's taxonomy places the organism in Eukaryota, Viridiplantae, Streptophyta, Magnoliopsida, Zingiberales, Zingiberaceae.
CAACAUAGGAGCAUCCAGUUAGGAAACUUUCUCGGCACAUCAUUUAGGUUGUGAGAACAUCCCCCCCAUAAGAAUAUCUCUACUGGACUCAGACCCCUUCGUUGAUUUUUACUUUUAUCAUUCUCGCUAAUACUUCUUUAACUAACAGUCUAACAGAUAGUGCAGUUAUCCAGCCACGAGAACAUCCCUGAGAAAAUAUCUUCCCUAAUCCUAAGCCCCUCAGCCAUUCAGGAACCAAGAACAAGGCAAAGUUACAACAAAACCAGAUGAGGUCGGCAUACAUGGUGGCAUAAGGUGAGGCGAUGUCAGCAAUGAAUUAUCACUCGAUAAUGUCUGCAAACUGAGCGUGUCAGAUAGCAAGCAUGGGAUGGUAUGCGGUCAACCUCAGGUAAGGUCAAUCUCUCAUUCCUGGACCCUUAUCUAUGUCAGACGUUGCUUUGAUUGAUGCUCCCAGAGGUGAUUAUGACCUUACGUUAGCCCUUACCGAUGGUUGCCUUCCGUCCACAUGGGAGACUGGUAGUUGGAGCAUGGGUUGAUCCACGAGGAGUUGUAUCUUUAUAUAAGGAGCCGAAGGUUGAUCAAACGGACUCUCUUGGCUAUUUUGUAAAAAUAAAUAACUACUGUGAGUAAAAUGUAGUAGAUUGACUUAGUUAA